Heterocephalus glaber (naked mole-rat) is the source of this 1339-nucleotide long non-coding RNA. NCBI's taxonomy places the organism in Eukaryota, Metazoa, Chordata, Mammalia, Rodentia, Bathyergidae. The record is from Ensembl.
GAAGCUUAGAGUUUCUUAUGUUCCACUCCACCAACGUGCCAUGGAGAGGAAACCUGUCAGCAAGCAGCACAUGAUGGUAGACAGAAGCUGAGAUGAGCCCUCAUUCAUGGAUGGGCUGCAAAACCAACUCCUUUCCUGUCCCUUCCAGUUAGUAAACCUUGAUCAAUCCUAAAAUACACCAUGCCUGGUGCAGCAGCUGCCUGCAUUCCAAAAACCUGUGUUUCUGUACUCAGAAGAAGGCAGUUAGCAACCUUCGGCCACUUGUCAUUACAAAGGCAAAGAUAUGAAAAUGAGAGUUUCUGAUGGAUGUGGCUUCAAGCAGGACAAAGGCCUUUGAAAACAGCGAAGAUGAGGAAAAUCACAGAUAAUAUUCUUGCCACGCUGCUUUGAACCCUCAAUCCAAAAGCACUUUUAAACAUGCUCUCCACAUACCCUUCAUCCUGGGAGAGCGAGACAGAGGUUCUGAUGACCCUGGCUUCCAGACUGGCUCCUGAUUGCUGGUCAAGACCACAGUGGAAAUUAGAAGCCUGCCUGCUGAUUCAUCUCUUCUUCUCACUGCAUCUGCAUUCUGGCUGUCUAUUCAACCAAUAUCUGUGGAGUACCUACUGUGUGCCAGAUACUGUUCUAGCACAGCCAUCCCAGAGGCAUCUUUCUGAACCAUAGAUCUGAUCAUGUCAUGCUCCUGCCUAAUGCCUUCCGUGGCUCCUUAUUAUCCAAAGGAUCAAGUCCAGAAAAUUUAACAUGGCUAACAAAAUCAUUUAUUGUGUGCCCCUUCAGUUUCAUCCCUUUCUUUUACUUGCUCCCCAUCCUACCCCUUCUAAUCCAGGUUGUGGCUAUACUAUGAGUCUUUCUGUAUUGUGUCUCCAGCCACCAGUCAUUGAAGCCUGCUCCUCCUUUUGCUUGGAGCAAUCUCACCAACGCUGUCCACUGUCCCCUUGCCCACUCACUGCUUCCCUAGCCCUUCCCAUCCUGCAGUGGGAAUGCUUUUCUGUGGGGAGCCUUCAGAACGCACAUUCAGCACCUGUAGGCAGCAUUGUUGUUUGCCAGGAUCUUAGCUCUUUUUUCUUCUCUGGUAAAAGAUAGUCCUUACCCCUUUGGAAAACCCAUUCCAUGGAGCUCAGGUAGGGCUGCCCUGGGCUAUCUCCCAAGUUGCUGGUGAUUCCGGCCUGAAUUAUCCUGUAACUGACCACCACCCAGCCCCCACUGGUCUCUGAGCACCAGGAGAGAAGGAAAUGACUGUUUGCUUCCCUAUCCCCAGCCUCAGCACCUGGCCCAGGUGGGUUCACCACAGCUGGGUCAUCUACCAAUGUUUUUUGAAUAAAUAAAAUUUUGAAAUUGC